RNAcentral lists this ribosomal RNA (492 nucleotides) under uncultured bacterium. RNAcentral describes it as "partial 16S ribosomal RNA". It matches the Rfam family "Bacterial small subunit ribosomal RNA", at positions 29 to 507 of the family's 1533-position model. The record is from RNAcentral.
AGUGAACGCUGGCGGUAGGCCUAACACAUGCAAGUCGAACGGCAGCACAGUAAGAGCUUGCUCUUACGGGUGGCGAGUGGCGGACGGGUGAGGAAUACAUCGGAAUCUACUUUUUCGUGGGGGAUAACGUAGGGAAACUUACGCUAAUACCGCAUACGACCUACGGGUGAAAGCAGGGGAUCUUUGGACCUUGCGCGAUUGAAUGAGCUGAUGUCGGAUUAGCUAGUUGGCGGGGUAAAGGCCCACCAAGGCGACGAUCCGUAGCUGGUCUGAGAGGAUGAUCAGCCACACUGGAACUGAGACACGGUCCAGACUCCUACGGGAGGCAGCAGUGGGGAAUAUUGGACAAUGGGCGCAAGCCUGAUCCAGCCAUACCGCGUGGGUGAAGAAGGCCUUCGGGUUGUAAAGCCCUUUUGUUGGGAAAGAAAAGCAGCAGGUUAAUACCCCGCUGUUCUGACGGUACCCAAAGAAUAAGCACCGGCUAACUUCGUG